RNAcentral lists this small RNA (99 nucleotides) under Salmonella enterica. RNAcentral's name for it is "partial RtT sRNA". It matches the Rfam family "RtT RNA", at positions 34 to 130 of the family's 130-position model. From Rfam's summary of the family: This family represents a bacterial cis-regulatory element known as RtT RNA. The record is from RNAcentral. RNAcentral also lists the same sequence under 3 other names. Lineage: Bacteria; Pseudomonadati; Pseudomonadota; Gammaproteobacteria; Enterobacterales; Enterobacteriaceae.
GACUAAGGUUCGAUUCGAGCGAAAGCGAGAAAGCGUUGCCGCAGGCAACGACCCGAAGGGCGAAACGCGCAGCGCUGAGUCAUCCUUCCCCCACCACCA